CGCCAAAGGAGAGCUGCCCUG
Molecule: microRNA, 21 nt
Filed under: Nicotiana tabacum (common tobacco)
Lineage: Eukaryota; Viridiplantae; Streptophyta; Magnoliopsida; Solanales; Solanaceae
Also listed under: 1 other name
Description: nta-miR399a
Gene: nta-miR399a
Source: miRBase by way of RNAcentral